This 253-nucleotide ribosomal RNA is filed under the name uncultured bacterium. Its description in RNAcentral is "partial 16S ribosomal RNA". It matches the Rfam family "Bacterial small subunit ribosomal RNA", at positions 524 to 776 of the family's 1533-position model. The record is from RNAcentral.
UACGUAGGGUCCGAGCGUUGUCCGGAGUUACUGGGCGUAAAGCGCGCGCAGGCGGCCCGCGAGGUGUCACGUGAAAGCCCCGGGCUCAACUCGGGAGGGUCGUGGCAAACCGGCGGGCUUGAGGCCGGUAGAGGUGGGUGGAACUCCUGGUGGAGUGGUGAAAUGCGUAGAGAUCAGGAAGAACACCCGUGGCGAAGGCGGCCCACUGGGCCGGUGCUGACGCUGAGGCGCGAAGGCGUGGGGAGCGAACAGG